Molecule: ribosomal RNA, 332 nt
Filed under: uncultured bacterium
Lineage: Bacteria
Description: bacterial SSU rRNA
Rfam family: Bacterial small subunit ribosomal RNA
Source: RNAcentral
CGCGUAGGCGGGAUGGCAAGUCGGUCGUGAAAUCCCUCGGCUCAACUGAGGAUCGUCGAUCGAUACUGCCGUUCUUGAGGAUUGCAGAGGAGACUGGAAUUCCCGGUGUAGCGGUGAAAUGUGUAGAGAUCGGGAGGAACACCGGUGGCGAAGGCGGGUCUCUGGGCAAUUCCUGACGCUGAGGCGCGAAAGCGUGGGGAGCAAACGGGAUUAGAUACCCCGGUAGUCCACGCUGUAAACGAUGACGACUAGGUGUGGGGGGGUUCAGUCCCUUCCGUGCCGCAGCUAACGCAUUAAGUCGUCCGCCUGGGGAGUACGGCCGCAAGGUUGAA